This 492-nucleotide ribosomal RNA is filed under the name uncultured bacterium. RNAcentral describes it as "partial 16S ribosomal RNA". It matches the Rfam family "Bacterial small subunit ribosomal RNA", at positions 29 to 507 of the family's 1533-position model. The record is from RNAcentral.
AGUGAACGCUGGCGGUAGGCCUAACACAUGCAAGUCGAACGGCAGCACAGUAAGAGCUUGCUCUUACGGGUGGCGAGUGGCGGACGGGUGAGGAAUACAUCGGAAUCUACUUUUUCGUGGGGGAUAACGUAGGGAAACUUACGCUAAUACCGCAUACGACCUACGGGUGAAAGCAGGGGAUCUUCGGACCUUGCGCGAUUGAAUGAGCCGAUGUCGGAUUAGCUAGUUGGCGGGGUAAAGGCCCACCAAGGCGACGAUCCGUAGCUGGUCUGAGAGGAUGAUCAGCCACACUGGAACUGAGACACGGUCCAGACUCCUACGGGAGGCAGCAGUGGGGAAUGUUGGACAAUGGGCGCAAGCCUGAUCCAGCCAUACCGCGUGGGUGAAGAAGGCCUUCGGGUUGUAAAGACCUUUUGUUGGGAAAGAAAAGCAGCAGGUUAAUACCCCGCUGUUCUGACGGUACCCAAAGAAUAAGCGCCGGCUAACUUCGUG